RNAcentral lists this ribosomal RNA (244 nucleotides) under uncultured bacterium. Its description in RNAcentral is "partial 16S ribosomal RNA". It matches the Rfam family "Bacterial small subunit ribosomal RNA", at positions 28 to 244 of the family's 1533-position model. The record is from RNAcentral.
GAUGAACGCUGGCGGCGUGCCUAAUACAUGCAAGUCGAACGCAUCCCGUUAAAUGAAGUGCUUGCACGGAUUUUAACAUUGGAUGAGUGGCGAACUGGUGAGUAACACGUGGGUAACCUGUCCAGAAGCAGGGGGAUAACACUUGGAAACAGGUGCUAAUACCGUAUAACAACAAAAAACCGCAUGGUUUUUGUUUGAAAGGUGGUUUCGGCUAUCACUUCUGGAUGGACCCGCGGCGUAUUAG